AAGCACCCAGGUCAAGCUCCUUCAAAGACCCAUAUGAUUGGAAAUGUUACAAGAAAAGAAAAAUCAAAGUUAAAUACAAUUAUUGGCAGAAAUCAAAACAAGGUACUACUGUAUUGGCUUUUGCCUUUUUCAUUCUUAAUUUUUUAUUUUCGAGAUUAUGUAUUUCAUUGGUGGUAGCUCUUUAGAGAGGGUUAGAAUUUCGAUCGAUAUAGUUGAUCCAUUAUUUAAUUGUCUUUAAUAUAGUGCUUAUGGCUUUUCCUUUUUCUCUUGUGUGAAAAUUAUAGUUAUAAUGACUUGUCCUCUCAAAAUGGAGCCGCGCUGAUCCAUGCAUGUUGUCCUACGUGCAAGUCUGUUUUUCUGAAGAAUACUUUGUGUCUGGGUUACACUGCUCCAAACAAGUUUUAGGGUAUCCUGUCUUGCCAGCUGAAAUGACUC
This 435-nucleotide long non-coding RNA is filed under the name Aquilegia coerulea. RNAcentral describes it as "long non-coding RNA (ACOE_LNC001357)". The record is from RNAcentral. Lineage: Eukaryota; Viridiplantae; Streptophyta; Magnoliopsida; Ranunculales; Ranunculaceae.